CCAGCUCCUCCUCACCUUCUCCUCCUAUCUGUCCCUUUGCUGUAGGUCAUCAUGGCGUGGAGAUGGCGAUGACAGUAGGAGGGCGUCGACCUUGCCCUACUCGAGAUGGAUGAGGGCUGCACCUAGCUUCGGCCCUGCUCUACUCGAGGAGGAGGGGCAGGAGGAGAGGUUUCAUUCCAUCGAGGAAGCUCGCUCUGCAUCCGAGUCUCGGUCAUCCUGCAUAGCAAGGAGCUAGACCAAGGGAGCAAGCAGCACUGCUGGUUCCUUGAGACAUGUGCAACACAUUUAACUUUUAGUACUCCAGUACUCCAGUAAUUUUGCUUAGAGUAUUUAACAAGAUUGAACUGUACAUGUGUGGAGUAAUUUUUCUUGGAGUAUUUAACAAGAUUCAACAAGACUUAACUUACUUUUCUAGUUAAUUAAAUGGACAUCUUGGAUUAGUUAGAAAAUCAUGAAUUAUUUGCAGAAAUCCAUAGAAGUAUUGUACUCCAGUGUGCAUUACUUACAUAAACUUGCUUGCAAGCUUAUUUUCUGACUUGUAUAUUCUGAAACUAAAAAAGCUUAGGUAACUUAUGUUAAGUUUUAGUAAUAUUCAGUGGAGUAUUUAUUGUAAAUUUUGCACAUCACAGUAAUUUCACUAUUGUUAACUGCUGUAGCAUUAGGAGUAGUUUUACUACAGUAAUGCUUGAAGAGGGUGAAUGGAGGGUGAGGAAGUUUUACUGCAGAGUUGGAUUGCACAGGGAGUAGUUAGGAGUAGUAGAUGUUGAUGAUCAUAGUCAGGAGUAGUUUUGCCUUUCAUGAUCAUCCAAAAAUGUGAUGUACUAUUGUACUUUGAGUGAAUGUUGAUUACUAUAUGCACUUGUGUAGUAGAUGUUGAGUACUGUAUGCACUUGUGUAGUAGAUAUUUUAUUGACUAGAUAUAUACGUGUUGACUGUUCGUCUGUUCCUCUAGUUUUCUGAUGUGCAUGUUUAUUUGGAUCCACUGAACCUUUGCACGACUAAUCUCUCAAAUUUCUAUAUACAUCGACAGGUUUUCUGAAAGUGUGACUCCAUAGUAUUGAGAAGUAAUUGAGUUUCCUUUAGUUUUCUGAUGUGAAAGUUUCUUGGAAGUAGAGCUUUUCGUAACUAAUCAAGAACUCGACUCUUUUCCCCUAAUAUCGUUGCCGCCCAGUCCAAGUCCGUUUGUACUUGUAAUAACGGAGUAUUUGUACUUGUUUACAAUGUUUUAGGCACUGGUACGAAAGCUGCCCUUGACACGAACUUAGUAUACCAUAGUAUAUAUACUACCAAAUAUAAUUUAGCAUCUUGUUUUCGUCAAUUGAUGUGUUCCUGCUUCCUGUUGUCAAGCCCAAACCCACUGAAUUACCUAGUAUCUCUGUUCUUCUCUUCAUAUCGAAGCUCAUCAAACUUGUCAGCUCUAUGCUUUCAUUCUGAUUUGUACAUCAUCCUGAAAUAUAUAAUCAUGCUUUUAUUCUGAUUUGUACAUCAUCCUGGAUGGUCUGCCCAAACGAUGCUCAUGGCGUUUCUGUUAGCCUGCGUUACAACUCAUUUUUUUAUUUAAAGAACCAAGUGGCACAGUGGUUCUAUUUCUCAUAAAUUGACAGAAAGGUUCUAGCAUGUUUUCAUUUGCAUGUAAAACUCGACCUUGUUUUAGUUGAGUGAAUAUGUUUCAGGUAUGGAACGUUUUACAGUACAUUUCUUUCCUUCUAAAUGUGAAUUCAUGUACAUCAUCAAGCAUUUCACAUUUGCUAUAGUACUACGUAAUGGUGUACGUCUUUUAGAAAUUAUGCUCCUUACGUUUAUAAAUUCUACAUAUGGUUUAUCAUCACUUGGUGUAUAUAUAGCAUGUUUUGGGCAACGAAUUAUUCAGCGUUCUAUGUUAAAGCUUUCAACCUUGAAAGCACAUAUUUGUUCGGGCAUGUGCUACAUGUACCAUUUUAGAAGUAGUCCACAUAUUUCUGUCCUGCUAUAGUCUUUUUUCAACUUCUUAUGAGAAGUAUUCGUUCUGAUUUCUGGUUUGCUGGUUGUUGUAGACAGAUGUAUGAAACCUCUUAACUGUGGACGACAACUACUUCCUUGAGAAGGACCAUCAUCACCCAUCAAAUACGCCAUUGAGGGCGUCCGUGGAAGGCCCUCAAGUGAGUCCGGCAUUCGAUCGCUAUUGAAGGAGCUACAUGUAGAAGAAGAAAACACUUGUAGAGCUUGUAACUGAUUCCCAUAGUUGUAGAGCGUGUAUCAACUAAGCUUGUAUUAUGUGUAACUUGUAGAACUUGUAAAUGCUACAGCUUGUAGGACGUGUCAUUUGUAGAGCUUGUAUAUGCUACAGCUUGUAGGACGUGUCAUUUGUAGAGAUUGUAUUGAAUCUGGCUGUUGUUAUUUGAAGUAUCAUGUGUGUUUUUU
Triticum aestivum (bread wheat) is the source of this 2400-nucleotide long non-coding RNA. RefSeq lists it as uncharacterized. The record is from RefSeq and is a predicted model, not a curated record. NCBI's taxonomy places the organism in Eukaryota, Viridiplantae, Streptophyta, Magnoliopsida, Poales, Poaceae. The transcript is spliced from 3 exons.